Molecule: ribosomal RNA, 251 nt
Filed under: uncultured prokaryote
Description: partial 16S ribosomal RNA
Rfam family: Bacterial small subunit ribosomal RNA
Source: RNAcentral
ACGUAGGGUGCGAGCGUUAAUCGGAAUUACUGGGCGUAAAGCGUGCGCAGGCGGUUGUGUAAGUCAGAUGUGAAAUCCCCGGGCUCAACCUGGGAACUGCAUUUGAGACUGCACGGCUAGAGUGUGGCAGAGGGGGGUAGAAUUCCACGUGUAGCAGUGAAAUGCGUAGAGAUGUGGAGGAAUACCGAUGGCGAAGGCAGCCCCCUGGGCCCUUACUGACGCUCAUGCACGAAAGCGUGGGGAGCAAACAG